UUUAGGCAUAUAAUGGGUAUUUUUGACUUUUUUCAGGAGCAAAAACUGGAUAUCAUCAUCAUCAUCUGAGAAUCAAAGAGCUGGAAGAUACCCUGUGGAUCAUUGAAUUGAGCCCAAGCUGCAAUCUCCUCUUACUCAGGCUCUACUCUCCCUGGCAGCCGUGUGUGACAGUUGGAAAUGUAGCAGAUUGCUCUGCCUGUGGAGGCUAUGAAGUCUUGGCCAUGCAUCUGAAGUCCCCCUAGCUCCAGACAUGAUUGUGUUUAAAUGUUAAGAGGCAUAACAUCUGGAUGGGACUAUGUGCAUAUGCAAAAGCAUGGUUUAUACAUUUCCACCUCUUGGAACACAAUUCAACUCUUCUCUGUUAAUGUAAAUAAUUGAUAUACUGACUUUUUUAAAAAAGUAGGAGUGCAAUAAUAUACUCUCAGAUUUUAAUUGCUGCCUGAAAAUGCUUGCCAGGUGCACAGAAUUAGCUCUAGACUUAGUUUUAACCUUUACAAUUUAUCCACGAUGCACAGAAAAUAAGAUGGUUUCUUAGUGGAGUUAGGAAAGUGUUGAUCCUUUAAGAAGGAAGAAAUCUGUUCAUUCCCUAGGUAUUUUAUAAAGCUUUCAUUUUCAGCAGAUAAUGUUUUAUGAAAAGAGAGUAUUGAAAACUGCUCGUUUGACCAUUUCUCUAACG
This 676-nucleotide long non-coding RNA is filed under the name Pogona vitticeps (central bearded dragon). RNAcentral describes it as "lncRNA (ENSPVIG00000018084.1)". Lineage: Eukaryota; Metazoa; Chordata; Lepidosauria; Squamata; Agamidae. The record is from RNAcentral.